Molecule: long non-coding RNA, 374 nt
Filed under: Anthonomus grandis grandis
Lineage: Eukaryota; Metazoa; Arthropoda; Insecta; Coleoptera; Curculionidae
Description: uncharacterized LOC126734726
Source: RNAcentral
AAAAAGGCCACAUUUUAGUGUUUUUUUAAAUUGCUAGGAUGGGAAAAACUUGUGUCGUUUGUGCCGCAUCAUGAUAAAAAGGUGAUUCAAGCCGAUCUUUUCACAAGAUUUCUGAUGCACUGGUUAAAAACACAGCAGCGGAUAAUUCAGUUAAUUUACCAAGUGAUUUAUCCUUCAAAGCUGCAGAGGCAGCUUUCCUGAAGAGUGCAAAAACUUCUUUAGCUUCCAAAAUGGUAUAUAGUACAAACAGUGAAGCUAAUAUAGAUAAAUCUGAUCAUUCAUCAUCAACAAUAACUGCAUCUGAGAUUAAUAGUUCUACAGUAAUCGUGGGGUCUAGGUCAACAAUUACUAUUUCUCAUCAAAGCCGUUUUUGU